This 376-nucleotide ribosomal RNA is filed under the name uncultured Serratia sp. RNAcentral describes it as "bacterial SSU rRNA". It matches the Rfam family "Bacterial small subunit ribosomal RNA", at positions 521 to 896 of the family's 1533-position model. Lineage: Bacteria; Pseudomonadati; Pseudomonadota; Gammaproteobacteria; Enterobacterales; Yersiniaceae. The record is from RNAcentral.
UAAUACGGAGGGUGCAAGCGUUAAUCGGAAUUACUGGGCGUAAAGCGCACGCAGGCGGUUUGUUAAGUCAGAUGUGAAAUCCCCGGGCUCAACCUGGGAACUGCAUUUGAAAUUGGCAAGCUAGAGUCUCGUAGAGGGGGGUAGAAUUCCAGGUGUAGCGGUGAAAUGCGUAGAGAUCUGGAGGAAUACCGGUGGCGAAGGCGGCCCCCUGGACGAAGACUGACGCUCAGGUGCGAAAGCGUGGGGAGCAAACAGGAUUAGAUACCCUGGUAGUCCACGCUGUAAACGAUGUCGAUUUGGAGGUUGUGCCCUUGAGGCGUGGCUUCCGGAGCUAACGCGUUAAAUCGACCGCCUGGGGAGUACGGCCGCAAGGUUA